Molecule: microRNA, 22 nt
Filed under: Homo sapiens (human)
Lineage: Eukaryota; Metazoa; Chordata; Mammalia; Primates; Hominidae
Description: hsa-miR-3941
Source: miRBase by way of RNAcentral
UUACACACAACUGAGGAUCAUA